Molecule: long non-coding RNA, 1021 nt
Organism: Crotalus tigris (Tiger rattlesnake)
Lineage: Eukaryota; Metazoa; Chordata; Lepidosauria; Squamata; Viperidae
Exons: 3
Source: RefSeq, a predicted model, not a curated record
GUUUCUGCCUGUCUUCUGUCCUUUCUUCGGGUUGAUGGUGGCUGUUUUCCUUCUCCGCGUCGUCCUAAGUCGGCAUCUCAGCCGAAUCCCCUUAUAUUUGGGGGAUUCAUCCUUUACCUUCCUGACCAAUGGCCUGAUUUUAUUCCAAGAUACUUGUGUUCAUUUCACACUUUGAGGAGAAAGACUGGCUGUUUCGUCAUAAGCUGCAGACUGUAUACAUUCCUAAUAUACAUUUAAUAGACACGUGUCAGGUAGCUAGAGAUGCGGUAAAUAAGCUCCGUCAACUAACUGCAGGCGCGAAGAUGCACAUCCUGUUCUAAACAUUUUAAUGGUUAUAAAGUACUAUGGAUACUGAAAAUACCCCUCCAAAUGACAAGAUUCCCUCGAGAUCUCUAAGCAGAGGCACCAUUUGAAACUUCGGAAGACUACUAGAUGGCAGCGAAACUCUCUCCCUCCUUCUGGUCAUCAGGCACUUGGUAGUACAGUUAUUAUAAAUCUUUUCCUAGGAUUCUUCCAGCACCUGCGCAUUCCCUUAUGCCACAUUGACAUCUCUGGAGCCAAUGCACUACUCCACAGAGAGUCUUUCGUGAUGGAUAUUGAUCUUACUGUUCUACCCCAGAGUCUGUGAAUGCAGAUAUUUUUCGGAACGGUUUAAUGAAAAGUUCUGGAUUCACAGCACGGAACAAAGUAGUAGUUUGGGCACCUCGGAGUCCUGGAAUUCGAUAAUCUUUCUUUUUGGGUGCUUCAUGCGGAACAUCUGGAGGAACACCUGGAGGAUGCGGUGCUGAAGACAUCUUACUGUGGCAGAAAUAUUUGGACUGUGUGACACUUCACUAGUAUCCUGUAUUCUAAUUGCAAUCUAAUUGACAAAUACAAAUAAUAAAAGUCCAUGUCUAUUAUUUCCCAAAUCUGGAAAAUGCAGUGAUGGGAUACCUCCUGGGGGUUGCUAGCCAAAAACCUUGAAUAAUUAUCCCAUUUUUCUUUCUUAGCAGCUUUCUGUCAAAACAAAACAAACAAAAAA